GUGCAAGGUACAUAGGUCCUAGCGUCACAGGUAAAUAAGGUGGUUGAGAAGGCUUUUGACACAUUGGUCCUUAGUCAGGGUAUUGAGUAUAGAGGUUGGGGUGUUAUGUCACAACUGUGAAAGGCACUGUUGAGACCAAAGUUGGA
This is a long non-coding RNA of Amblyraja radiata (thorny skate), 146 nucleotides long. RefSeq lists it as uncharacterized. The transcript is spliced from 3 exons. The record is from RefSeq and is a predicted model, not a curated record. Lineage: Eukaryota; Metazoa; Chordata; Chondrichthyes; Rajiformes; Rajidae.